GGAGAGGUACCCGAAGUGGUCUAACGGGGGCCGGGUUCGCCCGGUCGGGUGGAAGCCCGCGCAGGUUCGAAUCCUGCCCUCUCCG
Molecule: non-coding RNA, 85 nt
Organism: Kitasatospora setae KM-6054
Lineage: Bacteria; Bacillati; Actinomycetota; Actinomycetes; Kitasatosporales; Streptomycetaceae
Source: Rfam